RNAcentral lists this ribosomal RNA (429 nucleotides) under Bacillota bacterium. Its description in RNAcentral is "Firmicutes bacterium partial 16S ribosomal RNA". It matches the Rfam family "Bacterial small subunit ribosomal RNA", at positions 355 to 776 of the family's 1533-position model. The record is from RNAcentral. Lineage: Bacteria; Bacillati; Bacillota.
UGGGGAAUAUUGGACAAUGGGGGCAACCCUGAUCCAGCAAUGCCGCGUGUGUGAAGAAGGCCUUCGGGUUGUAAAGCACUUUUGUCCGGGAAGAAAUCGCACCUGAUAAUACCGGGUGUGGAUGACGGUACCGGAAGAAUAAGGACCGGCUAACUACGUGCCAGCAGCCGCGGUAAUACGUAGGGUCCAAGCGUUAAUCGGAAUUACUGGGCGUAAAGCGUGCGCAGGCGGUUGUGCAAGACCGAUGUGAAAUCCCCGGGCUUAACCUGGGAAUUGCAUUGGUGACUGCACGGCUAGAGUGUGUCAGAGGGGGGUAGAAUUCCACGUGUAGCAGUGAAAUGCGUAGAUAUGUGGAGGAAUACCGAUGGCGAAGGCAGCCCCCUGGGAUAACACUGACGCUCAUGCACGAAAGCGUGGGGAGCAAACAGG